CGUCUAUAUACGUAUAGCAUAUCAAUAAGCGGAGGAAAAGAAACUAACUAGGAUUCCCUCAGUAACGGCGAGUGAAGCGGGAAGAGCUCAAAUUUGAAAUCUUCAAGGUUUUACCUUGACGAAUUGUAGUUUAAAGAAGUGUUUUCUGUUGGAAUUUUGGUAAAAGUUCUUUGGAAAAAGACAUCAAAGAGGGUGAGAAUCCCGUAUUUGACCAUUAUUUCCAACUUUGUGAUACACUUUCAAAGAGUCGGAUUGUUUGGGAAUGCAGUCCAAAAUGGGUGGUAAAUUUCAUCUAAAGCUAAAUACUGGCGAGAGACCGAUAGCGAACAAGUACCGUGAGGGAAAGAUGAAAAGAACUUUGAAAAGAGAGUUAAACAGUACGUGAAAUUGUCAAAAGGGAAGCGUUUGACACCAGUGUUGUUUUCUCGAAAAUCAAUUAAAAAUGGUGGGAUGUUGUGUUGUAUUGACUUUAUCAGCUUUCUGCACUUUUUUCCUGUCCUUUUUAAUGCACUUUUCGUUUAACAAGUCAACAUCAAUUUCUUUUGUUGUAAAAGGGUCAUUGGAAGGUGGCUUUCUUUUCGGAGAAAGUGUUUAUAGCCUUUGACUUCUGCAAUCGGAGAGAUUGAGGUCUGCAGCGUAGAUCCUUCGGGGUUAGAUGCAUUUGUGCUAAGCUAUAGCCUUUCAUAGACAACUUGUUGACUAUGAUCAGUCAUGUAGCUUACUCGCUUAUGUCAUUUUACCUACGCUUAGGAUGUUGACGAUCAGCUGAGCGCG
This 774-nucleotide ribosomal RNA is filed under the name uncultured Neocallimastigales. RNAcentral's name for it is "partial large subunit ribosomal RNA". It matches the Rfam family "Eukaryotic large subunit ribosomal RNA", at positions 26 to 635 of the family's 3401-position model. The record is from RNAcentral. Lineage: Eukaryota; Fungi; Neocallimastigomycota; Neocallimastigomycetes; Neocallimastigales.